UUAAGCUUUCAGUAUCAUUUGUGUGUCUGUUUUAAGCUGAAUAGAAUGUGCAAAUGUGCAUCAGCUUCAACUAUUCAACACUAUUUGUGUGUGCAGGCUUUAUGAGUGCACAGAGGUCAAACACUAAACUCAAACUACUUUGAUUUCUUUCUCUUUAGAAAGCUAUAGGAAUACUGAAAUUAAUAAUAUAAAUACAGUUUUAACUCUGCUUGGGGUUGGUGGUAACAUUUUCACUGAUGUUAUUAGCAAGACUGUUGUUGUUACAACUGAAACAGCAUUAUGUGGUCAUGAAUCUUCUCCUCGCAGAUAACAGCUAAAACAAUAUUAACCAUGUGGAUCAAAUAUAGGCUAUCCACACUCAGACACACAGGCAUUGCUAUCUCAAAAGUAAUUAAGUAAAAAAUAAUACUUAGCUGGAAUUAUAUUUUUUCUUGUCUAAUAUCUGCUGUGUCUGUCACAGGACUUUACAUUUUCAUAUGGGAACUGAUAUGACCAUGUGUGAAUUGAAUCAGCUGGUUAUAGAGAUUGUAGGUUUCACAACUAUUCCCUGUCUCACCCUUGAAAUCUAAACAUGAACUUGUAUUUUAAAUGUAUGUUUCACAAUUACAUAUUCAAAUGAGAGAUUAGAUCUGCUUACAGCGCAUGAUAUACAAUAUGUGUGUCAGAAAGUCAGCCAGUGAUUAUAAAUACACCAUUUGACCAAUUCAUAUGUCAUUUAUAAAUUAAAUCGUGCAGUAUUUUAGUGAUUUGGUGGAAUUGCGAUCAUAACUUUAGUAAACCGUGGAGUUUGCGUAAACUGCACCUGACCACUGUUUUCAGGCCAACUCGGGUACAGUAUGCAGGUGCUCCGUCUGUGCAUACAGAGACUAACUUUAAUUGUUGUGUUUCUCCAAGCUUUAAAUAUGACAAAUUUGCUUGAGUCUAUGUUCUGCACCUUUUGAAUCACAUCCAGAUUCAUUUAAAUCUGAGGAAACAAACUAAAUUGUAAACCACAUCGCUUGGCUAUUUACAAAGCAACUGACUUUAGGCUACAAAGUAUUUCGAAAACGCAUUAUUUUACACAACUAUGAACACGUUAGCAAUGAUGCAGCAUGAGGAAAUUCCUGAGUUUGCAGUUAUUGCAAGACUGGUCUGCAAAAGCACUUCUCUAGCACUUAUCUGCUUGAAAGCUCCACAGUUUCUUUCUUCUGAUGACAUAAUGCACUAAACAUACUAAUCACAAUGGUAUGCUUGUCAGUACAGAGAACAGCCAAUGCUCAUCACAUUGGUAUUAUAAAGAGUGUUCAUAUAUUUUUAUUAUUCUGUGAUUCCUUCAUGCAUCACUAGAAGGACGCCUGCGUACCCCACUUAGAGAACCAAUGGUAUAGAGUUAGUUAAGUCUGUGUCAGGUUUUUUCCAUUUUCAGCCAAUGGAGAGCAGGCAAAAAAGGGAGAUUAACAAGAGAACAUGUAUCUAAAAAUGCUGAAGAACAGCAGGGAGGGUUUUGUUGGGGCGGCCUUUGUUUGUUUUUUGCAGAUUGGAGUGUAGCAAAAGGAGGAGACCCACAAGGGGAACAGUGGAGAUAUACUUGAAGACCUGGAGCUCAGGAAACAGAUUGGCACGGAGGAAACAGGGAAACACACCUUCAGUCGAUCCUAAUAAAUUAGUGUCACAGAAGAGACGGGAUUCAGAUGAAUAAUAUAAACAAUGUUUAUUUACAGGAUUGCAUGUGAGUAUAAGCAGGUGAGUAUGUUGAUGCGGAGGAUAAGUCCAUAAAUAUAAACUGGAUAUUUGACUGUGCAGGCUUGGCGAAUGGACAUGGAUACCACAGAUGGCAAACAGGAUGAAAACCAGACGAGGAACCAGGAGACACCACACUGGGAGAGACAUGGAAGACACAGGAAACGCAAAUUGGAAUGGACCACAUGGAGAAAAAGGGAAUCAAACCUCAGCAAUGACUGGAAAUUGAUGGUCAGGAAUUUUUUAAAAAUCCAGUCGAUGGGUGCAUGGAUGGACGUCCUUGCAAGAUACAAGAGUGGUAAUCAGUUUGGAUGAGGAAUUAGGCCUUGUCUGUGUGAGGUUUUUCUUUUUCAGGUAAUGGAGAUAGAGCAGGCAGAAGAGGAGCAGGUAUGGCUUUGUUGGGGCUGUUUUUGUCUUUUACAGAUUGAAGUGGAGCAGAAGAAGGAGACUCAAAAGGCAGGAGAUAUGCUUCAAGACCUGGAGCUCAGGAAACAGUUGGAGCAUGUGGAGCAACAGGGAAACACACCUGCAUGUAUGGAUGUCCUUCCAGGAGGAAGGGGGUGGUGGUGGGCAUAGAUAGAUGUCUUGUCUGUGGCUGUUAUUUACACUGUAGGUAAUGGAACCACAACAGACAAAAAAAGAGAGCCUCACAAGCGGAAUGGUGAAUAUUUAUCUGAAGAACGCUGGAGAACAUUUGGCUUAUUGCUGGAGAUCAAGUCUUGUUUUUGUCUUUUGCAGAUUAGACUGGGGAAUCAGACCUCAGCAAUGACUGAAAACUGAUAGUCUGGUUAAGUAUUUCCUGAAUGGAUGGGUGGAUGAAUGAAUGAAAAAUAGAUGUCCUUCCAGGAGGAAGGGGUGGUGGUGGGCUUAGAUGGUUAGCUAGUUGUCUUGUCUGCGACAGGUGUUUUUUUUUUCGAGUAAUGGACACACAGCAGGCAGAAGGACACUCUCACAAGAGCAUCUGUUGAGAUUUAUCUGAAGAACACUGGAGAACAUCUUCCAUUGCUGGAGUUCAGCAAUCACAUAGAGCUCUGUUAGUCCUGUUGUUUUCUUUUGCAAUUACACACCUCAGCAAUGACUGGAAAUGUCCUGGUUACGUCCUUAACCCACGUUCCCCGAAUAGGGAAUGGAGAUGCGUGUCUGUAGAUAAACAAACUUUUGGUGAGUGCGUCAGACAACCAAUCACUUCUGAAGAUAAGAAAACAGGCCAAUUAAAUGGCAAUUGAAUUGGCGGAGCUUAGCUCAACAGCUGAACUGAUAGAGACACAGCUGAAAAAAAUGGUAUUAUGAUAAAUGAAUGACUUGAUAUCUUUCUAUUGUAUUUUACAGAUUGGAAUGGACCACAUGGAGAAAAAGGGAAUCACACACCUCAGCAACGACUGAAAAUUGAUGGUCAGGAUUUUUUUAAAAAUCCAGUCGAUGGGUGCAUGGAUGGACGUCCUUGCAAGAUUGAAGAGUGGCAAUCAGUUUGGAUGAGGAAUUAGGCCUUGUCUUUGUGAGGUUUUUCUUUUUCAGGUAAUGGAGAUAGAGCAGGCAGAAGAGGAGCAGGUAUGGCUUUCUUGGGGCUGUUUUUGUCUUUUGCAGAUUGAAGUGGAGCAGAAGAAGGAGACUCAAAAGGGAGGAGAUAUGCUUGAAGACCUGGGGCCUCAUGUAUCAACGCUGCGUACGCACAAAAACUUUGCGUACGCCAAGUUUCACGCUCAGAAU
Danio rerio (zebrafish) is the source of this 3426-nucleotide non-coding RNA. The record is from RefSeq and is a predicted model, not a curated record. NCBI's taxonomy places the organism in Eukaryota, Metazoa, Chordata, Actinopteri, Cypriniformes, Danionidae.